This 253-nucleotide ribosomal RNA is filed under the name uncultured bacterium. RNAcentral describes it as "partial 16S ribosomal RNA". It matches the Rfam family "Bacterial small subunit ribosomal RNA", at positions 524 to 776 of the family's 1533-position model. The record is from RNAcentral.
UACGUAGGGGGCUAGCGUUGUCCGGAAUCAUUGGGCGUAAAGCGCGUGUAGGCGGCCCGGUAAGUCCGCUGUGAAAGUCGGGGGCUCAACCCUCGGAUGCCGGUGGAUACUGUCGGGCUAGAGUGCGGAAGAGGCGAGUGGAAUUCCUGGUGUAGCGGUGAAAUGCGCAGAUAUCAGGAGGAACACCUAUUGCGAAGGCAGCUCGCUGGGACGUAACUGACGCUGAGACGCGAAAGCGUGGGGAGCAAACAGG